This 472-nucleotide ribosomal RNA is filed under the name uncultured bacterium. RNAcentral describes it as "bacterial SSU rRNA". It matches the Rfam family "Bacterial small subunit ribosomal RNA", at positions 355 to 825 of the family's 1533-position model. The record is from RNAcentral.
UCGAGAAUAAUUCGCAAUGGGCGAAAGCCUGACGAUGCGACGCCGUGUGAACGAUGAAGGCCUUCGGGUUGUAAAGUUCUGUCGCCUGCGAACAAGGUUGCACUCUGAAUAAUAGUGUAACUUGAGUGUAGUAGGAAAGGAAGCACCGGCUAACUCCGUGCCAGCAGCUGCGGUAAUACGGAGGGUGCAAGCGUUAGUCGGAAUUACUGGGCGUAAAGGGUGCGUAGGUGGGAAUGUAAGUUAGAUGUGAAAUACCGUUGCUCAACAACGGCCGUGCAUCUAAAACUGCGUUUCUAGAGGGAAAGCGGAGAAAACGGAAUUCCAUGUGUAGCGGCGAAAUGCGUAGAUAUAUGGAAGAACACCUGUGGCGAAAGCGGUUUUCUAGCUAACCCCUGACACUGAGGCACGAAAGCAAGGGGAGCAAACAGGAUUAGAUACCCACGUAGUCCCUGAGCGGGCUGGCAAGGCGCAU